UUAUGACCAAGCCCCCCAGGCGCCCCUGACUCCAUUUUAAAUGAAGUGUCCUUCAUUUAUUUUCACAUUCCCCGCUUUUGAUCAAGAUCUUCCCCGAAAGCACUGCUGAUCAUUUCUGCAUUUACUGGGUUUGCUCUCUGUGCCUGGAAGGACCUCUCCUGGCCGUCUUGUCCGUGUCAGAGGGAGAGUGCGCGGGCUGGAAAUCGAGACCCUGCUGAGCCCCCAGAGCCCCCAGGUACUUCCACCCAUCGUCCACGGGAUCACCUCCCAGAGCUGAGACGGCAUCACCCUCUUACCGGACCGAAGACUGGUUCCAGCUCUGUCAGGAUCGGUGGCUUACGGCUCGAACACCAAUAUUUGAGAGAGAAAUGAUGGGGGAAAGGAAGUGUUGCUUUAUUCUGGAAACCAGCAGCCUGGAAAAAGGUUGAACUCAAGUCCCAAAGACCCACUUCCCCGACCAGGAGAAGACAUGGGCAGGGCAGCUGCCCGGAGCCCCCGGGGCCACUGGGUGUGGACUUGACCCUGAACAGACCUGCCGGCAUCUGUGACGGCUGUUCUCAGACUCGGUCAAGCCUCAUCUUCUUGGAGCAUCUGGUCCUUCACCCCGUGAGGCCAGUGGUCUGCAGACGUCAAGGAGAGCUGUUAGCUCUGCUAGGGACGGAGGACUUAGGUCCUCAAGAAGAAAGCGUGAGCAAGGGUCUGUGUGCGGAGGGUUAACAAAGUUCAAGAACAGUUACAGCAGGCAGAAUUAAAAUUCUCACAACUCCAGCGUGUAUGAUGGCUCGAAGGCAGGGGCCCGGCCCGCAGGUGGUCUUGCCGUCGCACAAACCCCCCUGCUCAGUAAGCGGGUGAUCAAGGCCACGCAGCCAUCCCAAACCUGCGGCCAGCCUGUCUGUCGGCGUUGGCCGGGCUGCCCCUGCUGUGGCGGCGGAGCCCAUUUCCUCGCGUGAGGGAGACGCUUCUGAUGGCGACAGCUCAGCACCUCUUCUGACCCUGGAAGAAAGACGCCCGCUCCCUCCAGAAGCAAACCCAGGGGCAGUCAUGGAGGCCCCGCGGGAUCGGAGCUCUGGUGUGUUACAGGUGGGAACAGGGACACCAAGGUGUCCGGUAAGGACUGACCUCUGGCUUGCCAGCCUUCCGCACAUUCCUAGACGCCGGGCAGUGCCAUCCACCGCAGCAAAAGCAAAGCCAGACGCAGCGUAGAGGACCCGGCGGUGAUGCGAACCGAGAGCCACAGCCUCCUGGGGGGUCCUCUCCCCCCCCGCAGGUCGGCAGUCCGGACGGCGUCCGGGAGGCCCGCUCUUCCUAAAAGGGUCUUUGCUAAAAACCUUGAAAGAGCACAAACUCACCUGGAUCUCUGCCCUGCGGAGAGAGACCAUGUUCAGCUGCGGGUCGGAAGUAGGAACCAGGCGCACUGCGUAUGCUGUGGUCCCUCGAGGGGUGAGUCUUGGAGCUGUGAAAGGACAAACCUGAGAAUCCAGACCAGCAACGGAGCCCCCCAUCGGGUGUUCCCAGGCUGUCUAUGAACUUUGCCGAGAGUCUCACUGGAGCCAUCCGUGUGUUCCGUUGGCUCUGAGGGCUGAGGGUGCUUCGAGAGUUUCACAGGCUGGGGGGUAGGUAGGAACGACCCUGUCCCAGAGGACCUUAGCCCCAGAGGACCUCAGCCCCGGAGCAACAGCCCACCUACAAGGAUGACCAACGGCUGUCCUACGGAUACAGCGAGUGAGUGCCCUGCCCUGAGGAAGUACUCAAGGGUCUGAAUUCUGCAGGGAUCAGAUAGGGAGAAAAGGUAAUGGUUUAAGGCUCCGCAAGAGCUCGAUGUCCUUCUGUGCAGUGCAACGGUGUGGUUCAGGAGUCCCCGGAGAACAGUACGCCCAAGCCAUUGCCCGAGCCCGUUGCUGAAUUUCUCUGCAGCUGAGGCCACGGGCAGCUGCGUCCUGGUGAAAGGGCAGUGUCUGCAGGUGACCGAGGCUCGGCUGCCGUCACCAUGUGUCCGAUGGGAGCUCGCUGUGGCCGAGCUGACAAGAGCGUCUGCUUAUUGCCGUGACAUGCAUUUAAAAUUACGACUGAUGUGUUAUAUCAGGACAGGUGAGAUGGCCAGAAAUUUCACAUCACUUCUGGAACAUUUAUAACAUAUACCCAUACAGACAUAGGGUAAAGAGGGCUUCCCGUGUAAUCUAACAUCUCAAAUAAGCCGAGUUAGUUUAAAUUCUCCUUUAUAUAAGGAGAGAGAACAAAUCUUAAGAUAUUUCAGGGACCCUCUGUAAAACUCAAAGUUAAUUCAAGUUCAAAAAGGCUUUACCUGGAAUUUGAAUUUUGGAAAGUUUGUCAAAAAGAUCAGAAGAUUUUCAAGCACUUAGGCAAAUAGGAUCAUAGGUCGCCGUGAACCAAUAUUUGGUUAAUCCUUUAACCAAAGUGACGAAGGCUUCAGAGGAAGCACAGAAGGUCACGAGCAUCUUAGCAAAACUUAACCCUUGAUAUCGAGAGGACGAGGUUUCCUUUGGCAGGCGAAGGCCUGACAGACGUGGGAAAUUAUUUUGGCAAAAUGUAGAAUGCUUGUUUUCUGGGCAGAUAAUUUGGAUAAAUAGAGGAAACGCUGUCACAGUCUCUUACCAGGAGCAGACCAGUGUCCUUCCAGAAGAAAGGAAGUUAGGUCCCAGUUUUAUGCACAGACACGACUGAUGUUGAAGCUUGUUUUUCAACCUGAGCACAUGGCGCGCCUGGGUGGCUGAGAGGGUUAAGCCUCUGCUUUCAGCUCAGGUC
Molecule: long non-coding RNA, 2763 nt
Organism: Mustela erminea (ermine)
Lineage: Eukaryota; Metazoa; Chordata; Mammalia; Carnivora; Mustelidae
Exons: 3
Source: RefSeq, a predicted model, not a curated record